Molecule: ribosomal RNA, 254 nt
Filed under: uncultured bacterium
Lineage: Bacteria
Description: partial 16S ribosomal RNA
Rfam family: Bacterial small subunit ribosomal RNA
Source: RNAcentral
CACGUAGGGGGCAAGCGUUGUCCGGAUUUAUUGGGCGUAAAGAGCUCGUAGGCGGUUCGAUAAGUCGGGUGUGAAACCUCCAGGCUCAACCUGGAGACGCCACCCGAUACUGUCGUGACUAGAGUCCAGUAGGGGAGCGUGGAAUUCCUGGUGUAGCGGUGAAAUGCGCAGAUAUCAGGAGGAACACCAGCGGCGAAGGCGGCGCUCUGGGCUGGCACUGACGCUGAGGAGCGAAAGCGUGGGUAGCGAACAGG